Molecule: RNA transcript, 1532 nt
Organism: Diabrotica virgifera virgifera (western corn rootworm)
Lineage: Eukaryota; Metazoa; Arthropoda; Insecta; Coleoptera; Chrysomelidae
Gene name: hatching enzyme 1.2-like
Exons: 2
Source: RefSeq, a predicted model, not a curated record
AAUUACUUGUUCAAGAAAAUCAAAUAAAAUCGAGGUUUUCGAGUUUAUUAAAUGUAUUGUCUGUUAAAGUGCACUCAAAAUAGAUCAAACAUUGAAGUAUGUACCCUUUAUUGGUUUUAGUUAUAUUACAUAUGGCCAAUGGUGAGUUGAAGACAAAAACUCUUAGUAUUGAUGAAUUCAAAGACGUCAAUCCUCCUAUUCCUGAAUUACCCGAAAAAAGUGAAAGUGCAGACUACCAAUUAAGAAAUGGUUUGAUAAAUCCUAAUUAUCUAUGGAAAGACCGAAGAAUACCAUAUAUAAUUAACGGAUAUUUUACAGCCCGCCAGCUUAACAUGAUCGAUUUGGCAAUGGAUCAUUUCAGACACUUCACCUGCAUUAAAUUUGUACCGAGAACCAAUGAAGAUCAUUAUGUCCAAAUUAAUAAUUUUGUACCAGAAAAAUGUUUCUCUAAUGUUGGUAAGCAACCUCUGGCUAUUAAUGUUAUAAAUCUUAGUGAAGGUUGUUUUUAUGGAGUAGGCAUUGUGAUACAUGAACUGAUGCAUACUGUUGGAUUUUAUCACGAGCAAACUAGGUUCGACCGGGAUCAUUAUGUCACUAUUAAUUAUAAUAAUAUAGAACAAGGUACCGAAAAUAAUUUUCGUAGAAAACAUGGUGCAAUGUACAAUCUACCUUACGACUAUGAUUCAGUUAUGCAUUAUUCUCCUUAUACUUUUAGUAUACACGGAACGGGGGGAGGUCAACGCUUCAUGACUAUUGUUCCAAAAAACUUGAGUAUGAAUUGGCACCGAUUGGGACAAUAUGAGGGUUUCAGUAAGCUGGAUAUAACAAAAAUAAACAUCAUGUAUAAUUGCAAGCAAAAGACUGCUCAGUUGAAUCUUGAAGAUGGAUUAUAUUAUACCCUUCAAGAUUAUGCAAAGAGAAAAUAAUAAAAAACUUACUAUAUAAAUAUAGUUUUAAAAGUUAUGCAUCACCUAAAAUUAUGCUCAUUUCCAUCGUUGAUUUUUUAGUGAACAGAUGAACGGAUUCUGCUAUUUUUUUAUUAUCUUAGAUUUUUCUGUGGUAUUUACAAACUUUGGUAAAUGUCUACUCAAACUUCUGUACUGUACUGUACUCAAAACAAUGUGCAUGUGAGUAUACAUCGAAAUCGUACUAGUGUCUUAGGUUUUGUGAACAUUUUUUUUGAAUGUCCCUGAUAUCUUCUUUGUAUAUGUUCUUUGAAAAAAAAAUAUACAGUUUUAUUGUUUAACAUGUGUUUCAACUGAAACAAAAGUUUGAGACACCCUGUAGGGAGGAAAUGAUACAAAGGUGGUUUAUACAUCGAAAUAAUAUUGUAGUCUCAUUUUUGUGAACAUUUUAUUUUUUUUUUGUUUGUCUGAUUUCUUUAAUAAUAAAGAACCUAGACGGUUUAACUGUAUAUUAUGUAUUUUAACUGACUACAUGCGAUACGUGAAGAUUCCAUGUCGUAUUAAAGACUAAGAUGAACUUAUUUUCAUAUAUUAUAGUGUGAAAGGAACAAAUUGUUCAGAGAGAGA